GACGAACGCUGGCGGCGUGCCUAAUACAUGCAAGUAGAACGCUGAAGGAGGAGCUUGCUUCUCCGGAUGAGUUGCGAACGGGUGAGUAACGCGUAGGUAACCUGCCUGGUAGCGGGGGAUAACUAUUGGAAACGAUAGCUAAUACCGCAUAAGAGUAGAUGUUGCAUGACAUUUGCUUAAAAGGUGCAAUUGCAUCACUACCAGAUGGACCUGCGUUGUAUUAGCUAGUUGGUGGGGUAACGGCUCACCAAGGCGACGAUACAUAGCCGACCUGAGAGGGUGAUCGGCCACACUGGGACUGAGACGCGGCCCAGACUCCUACGGGAGGCAGCAGUAGGGAAUCUUCGGCAAUGGACGGAAGUCUGACCGAGCAACGCCGCGUGAGUGAAGAAGGUUUUCGGAUCGUAAAGCUCUGUUGUAAGAGAAGAACGAGUGUGAGAGUGGAAAGUUCACACUGUGACGGUAUCUACCA
This 472-nucleotide ribosomal RNA is filed under the name Streptococcus mitis. RNAcentral's name for it is "bacterial SSU rRNA". It matches the Rfam family "Bacterial small subunit ribosomal RNA", at positions 28 to 485 of the family's 1533-position model. The record is from RNAcentral. Lineage: Bacteria; Bacillati; Bacillota; Bacilli; Lactobacillales; Streptococcaceae.